This 465-nucleotide ribosomal RNA is filed under the name uncultured Lactococcus sp. Its description in RNAcentral is "bacterial SSU rRNA". It matches the Rfam family "Bacterial small subunit ribosomal RNA", at positions 338 to 795 of the family's 1533-position model. The record is from RNAcentral. Lineage: Bacteria; Bacillati; Bacillota; Bacilli; Lactobacillales; Streptococcaceae.
CCUACGGGCGGCUGCAGUAGGGAAUCUUCGGCAAUGGACGAAAGUCUGACCGAGCAAUGCCGCGUGAGUGAAGAAGGUUUUCGGAUCGUAAAACUCUGUUGGUAGAGAAGAACGUUGGUGAGAGUGGACAGCUCAUCAAGUGACGGUAACUACCCAGAAAGGGACGGCUAACUACGUGCCAGCAGCCGCGGUAAUAAGUGGGUGCAGAGCGUUGUCCGGAUUUCUUGGGCGUAAAGGGGGCGCAGGUGGUUUAUUAGUUCGGGUGGAAAACGCAGUGGCUCAACCAUUGUAUGCAUUGGAAACUGGUAGACUUGAGUGCAGGAGAGGAGAGUGGAAUUCCAUGUGUAGCGGUGAAAUGCGUAGAUAUAUGGAGGAACACCGGUGGCGAAAGCGGCUCUCUGGCCUGUAACUGACACUGAGGCUCGAAAGCGUGGGGAGCAAACAGGAUUAGAUACCCGUGUAGUC